Molecule: ribosomal RNA, 253 nt
Filed under: uncultured bacterium
Lineage: Bacteria
Description: partial 16S ribosomal RNA
Rfam family: Bacterial small subunit ribosomal RNA
Source: RNAcentral
UACAGAGGUCUCGAGCGUUGUUCGGAUUCAUUGGGCGUAAAGGGUGCGUAGGCGGUGGACUAAGUUUGGUGUGAAAUCCUAGGGCUUAACCCUAGAAUUGCACUGAAUACUGGUUUGCUAGAGGACUGGAGAGGAGAUUGGAAUUCACGGUGUAGCAGUGAAAUGCGUAGAUAUCGUGAGGAAGACCAGUGGCGAAGGCGAAUCUCUGGACAGAUCCUGACGCUGAGGCACGAAGGCCAGGGGAGCAAACGGG